Perca fluviatilis (European perch) is the source of this 357-nucleotide long non-coding RNA. RefSeq lists it as uncharacterized. The transcript has 3 exons. The record is from RefSeq and is a predicted model, not a curated record. NCBI's taxonomy places the organism in Eukaryota, Metazoa, Chordata, Actinopteri, Perciformes, Percidae.
ACAGACCGCUAAAAUUAAUUAAUUAAAUACAUAGUGACAACUUCCAUUUUUAUAAAGGUACAGGAAAUAUGGUAUGGUUUAUGGAACAAAUAUGAGGAAAUAUUUGUGAAAGUCUGAGUUUGGCAACUCCACCCGUGUCCUGACGAGGAGCGGUUUUGGCUGGGUUGAAACACCCGAGAAUUGAGACAUCUUAAAAACAAAAAGGUUAAGUUAAGGUUAAUAAGGGUAAGUCCUCCAUAGUAGAGGUAAGUCCCAGGUAAUUGUAGGGGUAAGUCCUCCAUAGUAGAGGUAAGUCCCCCGGGGUAAGUCCUCCAUAGUAGAGGUAAGUCCCCUGGGGUAAGUCCUCCACAGUAGAGG